Molecule: ribosomal RNA, 301 nt
Filed under: uncultured bacterium
Lineage: Bacteria
Description: partial 16S ribosomal RNA
Rfam family: Bacterial small subunit ribosomal RNA
Source: RNAcentral
CAGCCGCCGCGGGAAUACGAAGGGGGCUAGCGUUGUUCGGAAUUACUGGGCGUAAAGGGCGCGUAGGCGGCCAUUCAAGUUAGAUGUGAAAGCCCUGGGCUCAACCUAGGAAUUGCAUUUGAUACUGUUUGGCUUGAGUUCGGGAGAGGUGAGUGGAAUUCCCAGUGUAGAGGUGAAAUUCGUAGAUAUUGGGAAGAACACCAGUGGCGAAGGCGGCUCACUGGACCGACACUGACGCUGAGGCGCGAAAGCGUGGGGAGCAAACAGGAUUAGAUACCCGAGUAGUCCCUGUCUCUUAUAA